Molecule: long non-coding RNA, 400 nt
Filed under: Brassica rapa (field mustard)
Lineage: Eukaryota; Viridiplantae; Streptophyta; Magnoliopsida; Brassicales; Brassicaceae
Description: long non-coding RNA (BRAP_LNC003893)
Source: RNAcentral
UUGUGUUGUCAGCCAUAAAAAAAAAAAGAAAUAAUAGUUGUACGAUCAUACGAUGUCAGGUCGACCCAAAUGCCUGAUACGAUAAAUAAAUUGAUAAUAUAAUGCUAGAGAUAUUUGAACAAAAAAUAAUGGUAGAGAUAAUGUUCUGAAAAGCAGAUGAUGCAGCAGGCAUGCCCAUCUUAAUGCGUUUGCUUGCUAGCCUCGUGAUUCUAUGCCGCUCUUCAUGCUCUAGCAUUCCCAAGAUAACUUAGUUUAUCAGCUGGUGGCUUAAAUUAUAGAAAUGAUAGUGACAUAGUGUGUGUAAACAAAUAUAGUUUAAUCAUAAACUGUAAUAGUCCAACUCGACAUUAGUUUACUUCUAUAGUGAUUACAUCUGGUCACCAAAAAAGGUGUCCACCCG